UACGUAGGGGGCAAGCGUUGUCCGGAUUUAUUGGGCGUAAAGAGCUCGUAGGCGGUCUGUCGCAUCGGCUGUGAAAACUCGGGGCUCAACUCCGAGCUUGCAGUCGAUACGGGCAGGCUAGAGUUCGGCAGGGGAGACUGGAAUUCCUGGUGUAGCGGUGAAAUGCGCAGAUAUCAGGAGGAACACCGGUGGCGAAGGCGGGUCUCUGGGCCGAUACUGACGCUGAGGAGCGAAAGCGUGGGGAGCGAACAGG
This 253-nucleotide ribosomal RNA is filed under the name uncultured bacterium. RNAcentral's name for it is "partial 16S ribosomal RNA". It matches the Rfam family "Bacterial small subunit ribosomal RNA", at positions 524 to 776 of the family's 1533-position model. The record is from RNAcentral.